ACAAACACUAGUUAAUACGGUACCAGCCAGGUCAGACCUCAUUACAAACACUAGUUAAUACGGUACCAGCCAGGUCAGACCUCAUUACAAACACUAGUUAAUACGGUACCAGCCAGGUCAGACCUCACUACAAACACUAGUUAAUACGGUACCAGCCAGGUCAGACCUCACUACAAACACUAGUUAAUACGGUACCAGCCAGGUCAGACCUCAUUACAAACACUAGUUAAUACGGUACCAGCCAGGUCAGACCUCAUUACAAACACUAGUUAAUACGGUACCAGCCAGGUCAGACCUCAUUACAAACACUAGUUAAUACGGUACCAGCCAGGUUAGACCUCAUUACAAACACUAGUUAAUACGGUACCAGCCAGGUGGUCUAGUUAAUACGGUACCAGCCAGGUGGUCUAGUUAAUACGGUACCAGCCAGGUGGUCUAGUUAAUACGGUACCAGCCAGGUGGUCUAGUUAAUACGGUACCAGCCAGGUGGUCUAGUUAAUACGGUACCAGCCAGGUGGUCUAGUUAAUACGGUACCAGCCAGGUGGUCUAGUUAAUACGGUACCAGCCAGGUGGUCUAGUUAAUACGGUACCAGCCAGGUGGUCUAGUUAAUACGGUACCAGCCAGGUGGUCUAGUUAAUACGGUACCAGCCAGGUGGUCUAGUUAAUACGGUACCAGCCAGGUGGUCUAGUUAAUACGGUACCAGCCAGGUGGUCUAGUUAAUACGGUACCAGCCAGGUGGUCUAGUUAAUACGGUACCAGCCAGGUGGUCUAGUUAAUACGGUACCAGCCAGGUGGUCUAGUUAAUACGGUACCAGCCAGGUGGUCUAGUUAAUAC
Oncorhynchus gorbuscha (pink salmon) is the source of this 838-nucleotide long non-coding RNA. RefSeq lists it as uncharacterized. The record is from RefSeq and is a predicted model, not a curated record. The transcript has 3 exons. Lineage: Eukaryota; Metazoa; Chordata; Actinopteri; Salmoniformes; Salmonidae.